ACUCCUACGGGAGGCAGCAGUGGGGAAUAUUGCACAAUGGGCGCAAGCCUGAUGCAGCCAUGCCGCGUGUAUGAAGAAGGCCUUCGGGUUGUAAAGUACUUUCAGCGGGGAGGAAGGCGACGGGGUUAAUAACCCUGUCGAUUGACGUUACCCGCAGAAGAAGCACCGGCUAACUCCGUGCCAGCAGCCGCGGUAAU
RNAcentral lists this ribosomal RNA (197 nucleotides) under uncultured bacterium. Its description in RNAcentral is "partial 16S ribosomal RNA". It matches the Rfam family "Bacterial small subunit ribosomal RNA", at positions 335 to 524 of the family's 1533-position model. The record is from RNAcentral.